AAGGCUCCAUAGCUCAGUGGUUAGAGCACUGGUCUUGUAAACCAGGGGUCGCGAGUUCAAUUCUCGCGACCCCUGGCCUUG
This is a non-coding RNA of Salmo salar (Atlantic salmon), 81 nucleotides long. The record is from the annotation of a RefSeq genome assembly. Lineage: Eukaryota; Metazoa; Chordata; Actinopteri; Salmoniformes; Salmonidae.